Molecule: ribosomal RNA, 377 nt
Filed under: uncultured Enterobacter sp.
Lineage: Bacteria; Pseudomonadati; Pseudomonadota; Gammaproteobacteria; Enterobacterales; Enterobacteriaceae
Description: SSU rRNA
Rfam family: Bacterial small subunit ribosomal RNA
Source: RNAcentral
AACGCGAAGAACCUUACCUACUCUUGACAUCCAGAGAACUUUCCAGAGAUGGAUUGGUGCCUUCGGGAACUCUGAGACAGGUGCUGCAUGGCUGUCGUCAGCUCGUGUUGUGAAAUGUUGGGUUAAGUCCCGCAACGAGCGCAACCCUUAUCCUUUGUUGCCAGCGGUCCGGCCGGGAACUCAAAGGAGACUGCCAGUGAUAAACUGGAGGAAGGUGGGGAUGACGUCAAGUCAUCAUGGCCCUUACGAGUAGGGCUACACACGUGCUACAAUGGCGCAUACAAAGAGAAGCGACCUCGCGAGAGCAAGCGGACCUCAUAAAGUGCGUCGUAGUCCGGAUUGGAGUCUGCAACUCGACUCCAUGAAGUCGGAAUCGC